UCUUGUGUAGAAUCUUAAAUGGAGCGUCGAUGACCAAGUCCUCCUUAUUAAUCUUUCACACUGAAGAAGUAGAAACAAGACAAAAGUAGAACUGUUUUCUUACCAGAAUUGUGAAAAAGAGGAAUGUUCAUGCUGUAUCACAAUAAGAAAAGAUUCUCACUGCUCAAGUAUGGCCAAACCUGGAUUAAAGUGCCUGGGUAAUUGGGACAUCAGUUGGAUUAGAGAAGUGUAGCUCCUGUACACUAUCAAGACCUGCAAAGUAACACAGCCAAUUGACAGGACAUAAAAAGGAGAUAAAUAAGAUAGAAACCUGGCAGAUUUUGAAAGAAAGCAUAGGAGAAGGAACUGAUUCAAGAUCUCUUUCACUUCUAAAGAAAGGAAGUAAGGCCAAUACUGAAAAGUUCACAAGUUUAAAAUGGAGUUCAGAGGAGAAGAGAGUAUCUUUUACUUGUUUUGUUUCCUUUAGAAUUAAGAGGAAGACAGAAGAAAAUAAAAGGUCCAAGAAAGAAUCGGCGUGGAAAAGAAGGAGAAGUUUGCUAACAUUUCGAACUGUCGCGUGCAGAACUCUUGCAGACGAUUGAAACUGGUUUCGAUGCAAAAUGUAAUUGAUUUAUUUUGAGUUGAGCACUACAGAAUAAAACAGCACCGAAGCCGUUCA
RNAcentral lists this long non-coding RNA (658 nucleotides) under Pocillopora damicornis (cauliflower coral). RNAcentral describes it as "uncharacterized LOC113679082, transcript variant X1". The record is from RNAcentral. Lineage: Eukaryota; Metazoa; Cnidaria; Anthozoa; Scleractinia; Pocilloporidae.